CGUUUGAAACGAUUUUAGUGCUUGUUUUAUGCAUUCUGUGUAAUAAUGAAGAUUAUCAAGUACAAGCAAAACAAAGGAUUGGCGAAGAGUCAUUUGGAGGUAUUUAUGAAAAUGAAUUAGACGUACAAACGAACGAUAAAGUUGUUUCUUUAGAAUAUGACACAAGACUACUUAAGCCGAAAUCUGAAAGACGAGAUGAUAUGACAAUAACAAACGAUAAUGCUUUUCCAUUAUACUAUGAAUCAAUAAUGAAUAGUCUAUUGGAAUUAGGAAAAGAUGUCGAAAAACUGAACGAAAAAGUUGUAAAAACAAAUAGAAAAAAGAAAAAGUACCCAACAGUUCUUAGACCGAUGGAAUCUAAAAGAAGAAAUGAUAUUGAUAAAACGAACGACAAAGUUGUUUCGUUGGAGUAUCACACAAGAAGACCCGACAAUAGACGCAUAAUAAACGACUAUGGGACAAGAGUGAAUAGUCUAGUGGAAUCUAAAAGAAGAGACAAUGUCGUACAAACGAACGAAAACGUUGUUUCAUUAGAGUAUGAGAAAAGAGAGCCUAAGCCGGUGGGAUCUAGAAGCAGACAUAAUAUCGUUAAAACAAUCGACAUAGCUGUUUCUUCGGAGUUUGACACAAGGCCGAAUGAGCUGACAGAAUCAAGAGAUAAUAUCGUAGAAACGAAUGAGAAAAGAGAUACGAAAGUGCCAAAAACGGUGAAAUAUAGAAGAGGCAAAUUACAAACACACGACAAAUCAAGGAAUAUCGAGAA
Long non-coding RNA from Cydia splendana, 763 nucleotides. RefSeq lists it as uncharacterized. The transcript is spliced from 3 exons. NCBI's taxonomy places the organism in Eukaryota, Metazoa, Arthropoda, Insecta, Lepidoptera, Tortricidae. The record is from RefSeq and is a predicted model, not a curated record.